RNAcentral lists this non-coding RNA (24 nucleotides) under Arabidopsis thaliana (thale cress). The record is from RNAcentral. Lineage: Eukaryota; Viridiplantae; Streptophyta; Magnoliopsida; Brassicales; Brassicaceae.
GGUAACGUUUAGUAGGGGCACGCU